This is a long non-coding RNA of Ornithodoros turicata, 397 nucleotides long. RefSeq lists it as uncharacterized. The record is from RefSeq and is a predicted model, not a curated record. Lineage: Eukaryota; Metazoa; Arthropoda; Arachnida; Ixodida; Argasidae. The transcript is spliced from 5 exons.
CUUGAACGUGCAAAUAGAAAGCUGUCCAAAAAGCCCAGAAAAGCGAAGGAGAACCAUAAAAUGUCUAACAUGGUGGGCAAAAUUGAAGAAAUCAUUGCAGCAGCUUCAACUCAACAGGCUGAAGCUGUGUGCACUGCAACAAAGGUAGACAUUGGCUUGGGAGUGUGCCUUGACGCAGGCGUUCUGCAUCGUAUACAAUGAGCAGCAAAGGGAGAUGGAACCAAAAUGGCACGUUCACUGAUGCGGGCAGUGUUUCUACCUGAAGAGAUGACUGGCCACACCCUUUAUGGGAGGCCGUGCAAUGCGCACAAAGGUGCAACAGCGAAACCUUCCAUUGAUGAAACAAGGACACAAGCUGUUCUUGGAUACACAUGCAAACAGACCACGACGAGCUUAC